GGGGAAUCUUCCGCAAUGGGCGAAAGCCUGACGGAGCAAUACCGCGUGAGGGAUGACGGCCUGUGGGUUGUAAACCUCUUUUCUCAAGGAAGAAGUUCUGACGGUACUUGAGGAAUAAGCAUCGGCUAACUCUGUGCCAGCAGCCGCGGUAAUACAGAGGAUGCAAGCGUUAUCCGGAAUCACUGGGCAUAAAGCGUCUGUAGGUGGUUUGGUAAGUCUGCUGUUAAAGACUGGGGCUCAACCCCAGAAAAGUAGUGGAAACUGCCAGACUUGAGUGUGGUAGAGGUAAAGGGAAUUCCUAGUGUAGCGGUGAAAUGCGUAGAUAUUAGGAAGAACACCAAUGGCGAAGGCACUUUACUGGGCCAUAACUGACACUGAGAGACGACAGCUAGGGGAGCAAAUGGGAUUAGAUACCCCAGUAGUC
Molecule: ribosomal RNA, 424 nt
Filed under: uncultured cyanobacterium
Lineage: Bacteria; Bacillati; Cyanobacteriota
Description: bacterial SSU rRNA
Rfam family: Bacterial small subunit ribosomal RNA
Source: RNAcentral